Molecule: long non-coding RNA, 619 nt
Filed under: Bos mutus (wild yak)
Lineage: Eukaryota; Metazoa; Chordata; Mammalia; Artiodactyla; Bovidae
Description: lncRNA (ENSBMUG00000026837.1)
Rfam family: Small nucleolar RNA SNORD116 (bases 1-83)
Source: RNAcentral
UGACACCCUCACAUGCAUUCCUUGGAAAAUCUGAACAAAAUGAGUGAGAACUCACUACCGUCUCCUCAUCGAAACUGAGGUCCAGCACGUUGCCUCCCUUGGGGUUAAGGGCGGGACUGGUUAGCAGUGAAGGCAUCUCCGACUGUGUCACACACAUGCAUGAAAGAGCCAGAUCACUACCAUUUGUGAGGCUCCUGUCUGAGGGUGGGCCGUGUACAGAUGCUGGAGUGGCUCUUGGAAUGCGAGAUCUGUGGUGAAGGGCACUGGAGCAUAGAGGCAUCUGGCUUGUCCAGUGGUGGCAGGAGUCAACAGUAGAUCCUGGCUGAGCUCUUGAGCUGUUCACUCGAAAAGGUGAAGUUGCCAGGCAUGACUGUCCGUCACCCAGGAGACGAAGCCCCGCCAAUGAGGUGGUGAAUCGAGGUGCAGGGGAGUCUGACGAGAAAUGUGGUGGGCCCAGGUUGCUGCCAGUUCUUUUGGAAUCACCAAGCACAUGGAGAAGUUGCCUAAUAUGACUGCCCAUCACCCAGGAGAUGAAGCCGAGCCAGUGAGGCAGUUACUUGAGGUGCGGAGGAGUCCGGCGAGAAGUGUGGCGGGCACAGGUUGCUGCUACUGCUUUUUG